GUCCACAAAUACUCCAGGGUGUGGAGUGCGUCCACUGUAGCUGCACAGUGGACGUAUUUCCUGCAGUAACUCCACAGUGGGUACACAGUAUAUCCACAGUAGUCUUAUUUUCAAAGUCCACCGUGAAUACAGAAUGCGGAACUACAAAUACAUGACCGUGGAUCCAGAUCCUGGAUUCAAAAAUGCACAUCCUAGAUCCACUGUAACUCCACAGUCUGACUAGGAUCUGCACUUAUUUUUAAUAAUUUGGCCUAAAAAUUAUGGGUGUCAGUGAGAAAAGUUUCGAAAUCUUCCCGGAAACAUUACUUCCUCCACUUUUUAAUGCCAAAGUGGCUAAGAGAUUGCAGAUCUGAUCACAGAACUGUCAUCUCCUGGCCAUUCUGGGUAUCCGUGGGAAUUUUUGAAAAAUCUUUCCGGGAACAUUGCUUCCUCCACUUUUUAAUGCCAAAGUGGUCAAGAGAUUUCAGAUCUGGUCACAGAACUUUCAUCUCUUGGCCACUUUGGGUAUCCGUGGGAAUUUUUGAAAAAUCUUUCCGGAAACAUUGCUUCCUCCACUUUUUAAUGCCAAAGUGGCUAAGAGAUUGCAGAUCUGAUCACAGAACUGUCAUCUCCUGGCCAUUCUGGGUAUCCGUGGGAAUUUUUGAAAAAUCUUUCCGGAAACAUUGCUUCCUCCACUUUUUAAUGCCAAAGUGGCCAAGAGAUUGCAGAUCUGAUCACAGAACUUUCAUCUCCUGGCCAUUCUGGGUAUCCGUGGGAAUUUUUGAAAAAAUCUUUCCGGGAACAUUAUUUCCUCCACUUUUUAAUUCCAAAGUGGUCAAGAGAUUUCAGAUCUGGUCACAGAACUUUUAUCUCUUGGCCACUUUGGGUAUCCCUCGGAAAUUUUUUUAGUGUUUCCGCCAAAUAUCUGCGCGGCGUUAGUGUUUGUGCAAAAAAGUGCAAAAAUGGUGGAACACGCUGACGCUGUGAUGGAAAUUCUCAAUUUUUGGUGGAAAAAAGCAUUGUUAUGUUUUUUUUCUUCUUCCUGUACAUCCCGGACUGCAAAACAACACCAAAGUACUCCGGAAAGUACUAAAUAUCAUAUUACCAGCGUAAUGCCGUACAUGAAUAACAAUCCGGCAGCCAGGCAGCGGCAUCAGCUGCGCGCAAUCACCAUCGACUUCUUCCGGAAGCUGAAGAGUAUGGUAUGCAGACGUACAAAGUGAUGAAAGCAAAGCCCGAAUAUGCAGCCCUCGUGGACUUUAUGCUCUGGCUGGAGGAGCAGAAGGCACGCUAUCUCGAUUCCAAGGGCAUCAUUAUGCUCUAACAUGAGCAAUGAAAAUUUGUGCCCUACGUCUUCCUGGAAGCGCUCAAGAAGUACGACAUGCUCCCACGCUUCAAAACCUCCGUUGUCGGCUUCACAAAUGUCUACCCACUGGCUGAGAAUGAACGUGGGGUGACUUUGAAAUAUUUCACUUGAGGAACUCAAGAAGAUCAUCUUGCAAUGCGAUGAAGAUGACAGGAAUGAGUUUGAGGGUAGUGCCAAGAUACGCUCAAAGAUUGUCUAUUAUGUCGAAGAUUUUAGUAAAUAAACCAUCUCCAGCUACUGUUGAGAUAAAGAAGGAAGAUGUUAAUUCUGCUGCAGCGUAGCAACCGGAAGUAGCUGUUUAGGAGAAUGGUGUACAAAAGUAGAAUAUUUUAAAGCAAAAACCCAGAGCAAUAGAAGCAGAAGUUGAGAAUUUUUGAAUUAAAAAUGAUUCUUUUUCUCCUUAAGAACUUUUGAGUAUCUUGAAGGAGAAAGAAUUCUUGAACUAAUUUGUGAAGAAGGAUAUUUUUCUUCUUAAGAACUUUUGAGUAUUUUGAAGGAGAAAGAGUUCUUGAACUAAUUUGUUAAGAAAGAUCAUUUUCUUAUUAAGAUUUUUUGAGUAUUUUAAAGGAGAUAGAAUUCUUGAAUUGCUUUGUUAUCUUUUUUUCUUAAGAACUUUUGAGUAUUUUGAUGGAGAUAGAAUUCUUGAAUUGAUUUGUUAAGAAAGAUCUUUUUUUCCUUUAAAGAAUUCUUGAAUUAAUUUGUUAAGAAAGGUCUUUUUUUCUUAAGAAACUUUGAGUAUUUUGAAGGAGAAAGAAUUCUUGAAUUAAUUUGUGAACAAAGAUCUUUUUUUCUUAAGAACUUUUGAGUAUAUUGAAGGAGAUAGAAUUCUUGAAUUAAUUUGUUAAGAAAGAUCUUUUUUUCUUAAGAACUUUUUAGUAUUUUGAUGGAGAUAGAAUUCUUGAAUUGAUUUGUUAAGAAAGAUCUUUUUUCCUUUAAAGAAUUCUUGAAUUAAUUUGUGAAGAAAGGUCUUUUUUUCUUAAGAAACUUUGAGUAUUUUGAAGGAGAUAAAAUUCUUGAAUUAAUUUGAGAAGAAAGAUAUUUUUCUUAUUAAGAACUUUUGAGUAUUUUGAAGGAGAUAGAAUUCUUGAAUUGAUUUGUUAAGAAAGAUCUUUUUUCCUUUAAAGAAUUCUUGAAUUAAUUUGUGAAGAAAGGUCUUUUUUUCUUAAAAAACUUUGAGUAUUUUGAAGGAGAUAGAAUUCUUGAAUUAAUUUGAGAAGAAAGAUAUUUUUCUUAUUAAGAACUUUUGAGUAUUUUGAAGGAGAUAGAAUUCUUUAAUUGAUUUGUUAAGAAAGAUCUUUCUUCCUUUAAAGAAUUCUUGAAUUAAUUUGUGAAGAAAGGUCUUUUUUUCUUAAGAAACUUUGAGUAUUUUGAAGGAGAUAGAAUUCUUGAAUUAAUUUGAGAAGAAAGAUAUUUUUCUUAUUAAGAACUUUUGAGUAUUUUGAAGGAGAUAGAAUUCUUGAAUUGAUUUGUUAAGAAAGAUCUUUUUUCCUAUAAAGAAUUCUUGAAUUAAUUUGUGAAGAAAGGUCUUUUUUUCUUAAGAAACUUUGAGUAUUUUGAAGGAGAUAGAAUUCUUGAAUUAAUUUGAGAAGAAAGAUAUUUUUCUUAUUAAGAACUUUUGAGUAUUUUGAAGGAGAAAGAAUUCUUGAAUUAAUUUGUGAAGAAAGAUCUUUUUUUCUUAAGAACGUUUGAGUAUUUUGAAGGAGAUAGAAUUCUUGAAUUAAUUUGUGAAGAAAGAUAUUUUUCUUAUUAAGAACUUUUGAGUAUUUUGAAGGAGAUAGAAUUCUUGAAUUGAUUUGUUAAGAAAGAUCUUUUUUCCUUUAAAGAAUUCUUGAAUUAAAAAUGAUUUUUGUCUGUGUAAAGAAUUUUAGAAUAUCUUGAAAAAGAAAAGAAUCCUUUGAGAAUAGUUAAUUACUUUGUUGAGAAAAAGGAUCUCUUUUUUAAAAGUGUUCAUUGAAUUAAAAAUGAUUUUUUUUUCAGUGUAUAUAAAGAGUUUUUGGUAGUGUCUUGUGAUGAAAUUUCAAAAUUAAAAGAGCAAUAUUUGUUUGUUGUGACGACUGAUAGUACACGAUUUAUUAUAAGAUGAAUUGUAAUAAAAAAAUUAAUAAAAAAAUGUUAUGAAUAAUAUAAAAAAAAAAUAAAAUAAAUGUAAAUUUUAAAAAUCUGAAUCUCAAAUUAUAAAUUAUAUGUAUUUUUAUGUAUGUGAAUUAUUAAUAUAAAAAAUAAAAAUAAAUUGAUUUUUACG
Lutzomyia longipalpis is the source of this 3587-nucleotide long non-coding RNA. RefSeq lists it as uncharacterized. The record is from RefSeq and is a predicted model, not a curated record. The transcript has 4 exons. NCBI's taxonomy places the organism in Eukaryota, Metazoa, Arthropoda, Insecta, Diptera, Psychodidae.